This 399-nucleotide unclassified non-coding RNA is filed under the name Hevea brasiliensis (rubber tree). Lineage: Eukaryota; Viridiplantae; Streptophyta; Magnoliopsida; Malpighiales; Euphorbiaceae. The record is from RNAcentral.
GAGGCAGUGACUUCCAUAAUCCAUUUGACAUAUUUGAGCAGUUUUUCGGGGGUGGUGCCUUUGGGGGGAGUAGCUCAAGAGUACGCAGACAGAGACGUGGUGAAGAUGUGGCGCAUACUUUGAAGGUGUCUUUAGAAGAUGUGUAUAAUGGAUCUAUGAAGAAACUAUCAUUAUCACGAAAUAUUCUGUGCCCAAAGUGCAAAGGAAAAGGGACCAAAUCUGAGGCUCCAGCAACAUGCUAUGGUUGUCAUGGUGUAGGAAUGAGGAAUAUAAUGCGACAGAUAGGACUAGGCAUGAUUCAACAUAUGCAGACUGUCUGUCCUGAAUGCAGAGGAUCAGGUGAGAUCAUAAGUGACAGGGAUAAAUGCACAAACUGCAGAGCUAGCAAAGUUAUUCAGG